Molecule: ribosomal RNA, 497 nt
Filed under: uncultured bacterium
Lineage: Bacteria
Description: partial 16S ribosomal RNA
Rfam family: Bacterial small subunit ribosomal RNA
Source: RNAcentral
GAUGAACGCUGGCGGCGUGCCUAAUACAUGCAAGUCGAGCGAACAGACGAGGAGCUUGCUCCUCUGACGUUAGCGGCGGACGGGUGAGUAACACGUGGAUAACCUACCUAUAAGACUGGGAUAACUUCGGGAAACCGGAGCUAAUACCGGAUAAUAUAUUGAACCGCAUGGUUCAAUAGUGAAAGACGGUUUUGCUGUCACUUAUAGAUGGAUCCGCGCCGCAUUAGCUAGUUGGUAAGGUAACGGCUUACCAAGGCAACGAUGCGUAGCCGACCUGAGAGGGUGGUUGGAUACACGGGAAGUGAGACACAGCCCAGACACCUACAGUGGGACACGGUAGGGAAUCUUACGGGAGGGGGGAGUGCGGGACAGUGCAACGCCGCGUAAGGGAUGAUGGAGCUAGGAUCGGAGAGUGAUGUAGGUCGGAGGGAUGAAAAGUGUAUGUAACCGUGCAGGUAAUGACGGUACCGGGACAGAAAGCCACGGCUAACUACGUG